CAUCAAAUGUCCAUCUGAUCACUCAUGGGACUCACCCUACUCACAUGGAAUACCCAAACUAGAAAGACUACUGACAUCUUACUCUGGAGGAAAAGUCCAGACUCCACCAAGGACAGAGCAUCAGCAUUAAUCCUCUUGACAAUGUGAUUAAAUAGGCUGACCCAUGCAUACCAGUGGACACACAGUAAGAACAGAAUAAAUGUAAACUAUUAUUUAAAAUAGAACUUAAAUUUUUGUGGCAUAAUAAAAUCAUCAAAUGGCCAUUUCUGUACCAUUUCUCCUUAGCACUGUGAUAUCAUAAAAGACCCUUGAAGGAUGAGGUGGAGGCAGGAGGAUCAGAAGUUCAAGGUUGUUCUCACAUAGGUAAUGUAUAAAUACCUAUGCCUGGGAUAAAUGCCUGGGAUAAAUACAUUUUCUCAGGAAAAAAGUACCAUUCAC
This 438-nucleotide long non-coding RNA is filed under the name Cricetulus griseus (Chinese hamster). RNAcentral describes it as "lncRNA (ENSCGRG00000025526.1)". Lineage: Eukaryota; Metazoa; Chordata; Mammalia; Rodentia; Cricetidae. The record is from RNAcentral.